Molecule: ribosomal RNA, 450 nt
Filed under: uncultured prokaryote
Description: bacterial SSU rRNA
Rfam family: Bacterial small subunit ribosomal RNA
Source: RNAcentral
UGGGGAAUCUUGCGCAAUGGGCGAAAGCCUGACGCAGCAACGCCGUGUGUGCGAUGAAGGCCCUCGGGUCGUAAAGCACUGUUUACGGGAAAGACGGGUCCUAUUGUUAAUACGAGUGGGAUUUGACGGUACCCGUGUAGGAAGCACCGGCUAACUCUGUGCCAGCAGCCGCGGUAAUACAGAGGGUGCAAGCGUUGUUCGGAAUUAUUGGGCGUAAAGCGCGCGUAGGCGGUUAUUCAAGUCGGAUGUGAAAGCCCGGGGCUCAACCUCGGAAGUGCAUCCGAAACUGGAUGACUUGAAUCCUGGAGGGGGCAGUGGAAUUCCCGGUGUAGAGGUGAAAUUCGUAGAUAUCGGGAGGAACACCAGUGGCGAAGGCGACUGCCUGGACAGUGAUUGACGCUGAGGUGCGAAAGCGUGGGUAGCAAACAGGAUUAGAUACCCGUGUAGUCC